AGGAGUUUAGGUUAAAUAAGACCAAGAGCCUUCAAAGCCCUAAGCAAGUAUGAUCUACUUAACCCCUG
This 68-nucleotide transfer RNA is filed under the name Pontoporia blainvillei (franciscana). RNAcentral describes it as "transfer RNA-Trp". Lineage: Eukaryota; Metazoa; Chordata; Mammalia; Artiodactyla; Pontoporiidae. The record is from RNAcentral.